RNAcentral lists this long non-coding RNA (967 nucleotides) under Scophthalmus maximus (turbot). RNAcentral describes it as "lncRNA (ENSSMAG00000024693.1)". The record is from RNAcentral. Lineage: Eukaryota; Metazoa; Chordata; Actinopteri; Pleuronectiformes; Scophthalmidae.
CGGAAACGGAUGAAAAAAUUAUAAAACUAUACAUCAGAGAGUUUCUGUUUCCUGCCAGACGCUGUAUUUAAAUCCAGCUAUUAUUUGGAAAACAAAAACAGAGGCGGGGGAGGAGGUCUGAUCAUCUCAUCAGCUGAUUAUCUUCUUUUAACAAAGAACAGGAUUUAAAAAAAAUAAUCUUUUUUUCAUGUCGUCUGACCCAAAACAAGACGGACAGUUGCCAGGACUCGUUCUCGUCCGUGUUUUUUUUAAUUUCCAAAAGCCACAGUCGUAUUGUGUGACAAAAUGUUCAUCUUCAUAUGCGGCUUUUUAAAUGAAUGCAUACAGUACACGGCAGGAUGUUGGUCGUGGUUACCACGACGACCGGCCUCUGCCCGUCCGCGCCCCCAGACGUGGCAGAGGUGCAACACUCGACGUCGCUUGUACGACUUUGAUCCGUGAGAGCAGGUCUCUCCACCUCAACAGUGUGUGUGUGUGUGUGUGUGUGUGUGUGUGUGUGUGUGUGUGUGUGCGUGUGUGUGUGCGUGUGUGUGUGUGUGUGAGCUUUGAUGGAAGGGCCAAGCGGUUGUCUUGGAUGUGAAUGUCAGUGGCAGCUUGUCUGCUCUCCUCCCUUCACCUUGUCACCACUCAUCGUCUAUCAUCCCUCCCUCGUUCUCUCUCUCUCCAUUUUUCACUCUCAGUCCUUUUAUCUCCUCUCUCUCUCUUUCUCUCUCUCUCUCUCUCCAUCUCUUUGUCUGUCAAAUCCUUUCUCCCUCUACAUAUUUUUCUUUGGUUGUUCCUGAGUGGUGGUCUGCCCUCUAUUUCAUCUCUCUCCACAAGAGCUCCCAGCAUCGUGUCAGAUGAUGUCACGUUAUAUUGUGGACAAGUUUUAACAGGAGACGGACGGACGGAGCCCUCGACAUCGACGCCGCCGGGAGUUCUCGUCGAAAUAAACCUGCUCGGUCUCCAGCAACUUCACAAUCUAUAG